Molecule: ribosomal RNA, 375 nt
Filed under: uncultured Nitrosospira sp.
Lineage: Bacteria; Pseudomonadati; Pseudomonadota; Betaproteobacteria; Nitrosomonadales; Nitrosomonadaceae
Description: bacterial SSU rRNA
Rfam family: Bacterial small subunit ribosomal RNA
Source: RNAcentral
UAAUACGUAGGGUGCGAGCGUUAAUCGGAAUUACUGGGCGUAAAGGGUCCGCAGGUUGUUUUGUAAGUCAGAUGUGAAAGCCCCGGGCUUAACCUGGGAACUGCGUCUGAAACUACAAGGCUAGAGUAUGGCAGAGGGGGGUGGAAUUCCGCGUGUAGCAGUGAAAUGCGUAGAUAUGUGGAGGAACACCGAUGGCGAAGGCAGCCCCCUGGGUCAAUACUGACGCUGAGGGACGAAAGCAUGGGGAGCAAACAGGAUUAGAUACCCUGGUAGUCCAUGCCCUAAACGAUGUCAACUAGUUGUCGGGCCUUUACGGGCUUGGUAACGUAGCUAACGCGUGAAGUUGACCGCCUGGGGAGUACGAUCGCAAGAUUA